CAGCAGCCACGGUAAUACGUAGGGUGCAAGCGUUAAUCGGAAUUACUGGGCGUAAAGCGUGCGCAGGCGGUUAUAUAAGACAGAUGUGAAAUCCCCGGGCUCAACCUGGGAACUGCAUUUGUGACUGUAUAGCUAGAGUACGGCAGAGGGGGAUGGAAUUCCGCGUGUAGCAGUGAAAUGCGUAGAUAUGCGGAGGAACACCGAUGGCGAAGGCAAUCCCCUGGGCCUGUACUGACGCUCAUGCACGAAAGCGUGGGGAGCAAACAGGAUUAGAUACCCCGGUAGUCCCUGUCUCUUAUAC
This 301-nucleotide ribosomal RNA is filed under the name uncultured bacterium. RNAcentral's name for it is "partial 16S ribosomal RNA". It matches the Rfam family "Bacterial small subunit ribosomal RNA", at positions 509 to 807 of the family's 1533-position model. The record is from RNAcentral.